Molecule: ribosomal RNA, 726 nt
Filed under: Salmonella enterica
Lineage: Bacteria; Pseudomonadati; Pseudomonadota; Gammaproteobacteria; Enterobacterales; Enterobacteriaceae
Description: partial 23S ribosomal RNA
Rfam family: Bacterial large subunit ribosomal RNA
Source: RNAcentral
GGGUUGUGAGGUUAAGCGACUAAGCGUACACGGUGGAUGCCCUGGCAGUCAGAGGCGAUGAAGGACGUGCUAAUCUGCGAUAAGCGCCGGUAAGGUGAUAUGAACCGUUAUAACCGGCGAUUUCCGAAUGGGGAAACCCAGUGUGACUCGUCACACUAUCAUUAACUGAAUCCAUAGGUUAAUGAGGCGAACCGGGGGAACUGAAACAUCUAAGUACCCCGAGGAAAAGAAAUCAACCGAGAUUCCCCCAGUAGCGGCGAGCGAACGGGGAGGAGCCCAGAGCCUGAAUCAGCAUGUGUGUUAGUGGAAGCGUCUGGAAAGGCGCGCGAUACAGGGUGACAGCCCCGUACACAAAAGCGCAUGUGCUGUGAGCUCGAUGAGUAGGGCGGGACACGUGGUAUCCUGUCUGAAUAUGGGGGGACCAUCCUCCAAGGCUAAAUACUCCUGACUGACCGAUAGUGAACCAGUACCGUGAGGGAAAGGCGAAAAGAACCCCGGCGAGGGGAGUGAAAAAGAACCUGAAACCGUGUACGUACAAGCAGUGGGAGCACCCUUUGGGGUGUGACUGCGUACCUUUUGUAUAAUGGGUCAGCGACUUAUAUUCUGUAGCAAGGUUAACCGAAUAGGGGAGCCGGAGGGAAACCGAGUCUUAACCGGGCGUUAAGUUGCAGGGUAUAGACCCGAAACCCGGUGAUCUAGCCAUGGGCAGGUUGAAGGUUGGGUAAC